GACGAACGCUGGCGGCGUGCCUAAUACAUGCAAGUAGAACGCACAGUUUAUACCGUAGCUUGCUACACCAUAAACUGUGAGUUGCGAACGGGUGAGUAACGCGUAGGUAACCUGCCUGGUAGCGGGGGAUAACUAUUGGAAACGAUAGCUAAUACCGCAUAAUAUUAAUUAUUGCAUGAUAAUUGAUUGAAAGAUGCAAUUGCAUCACUACCAGAUGGACCUGCGUUGUAUUAGCUAGUAGGUGAGGUAACGGCUCACCUAGGCGACGAUACAUAGCCGACCUGCGAGGGUGAUCGGCCACACUGGGACUGAGACACGGCCCAGACUCCUACGGGAGGCAGCAGUAGGGAAUCUUCGGCAAUGGACGAAAGUCUGACCGAGCAACGCCGCGUGAGUGAAGAAGGUUGUCGGAUCGUAAAGCUCUGUUGUAAGAGAAGAACGGGUGUGAGAGUGGAAAGUUCACACUGUGACGGUAUCUUACCAGAAAGGGACGGCUAACUACGUG
RNAcentral lists this ribosomal RNA (505 nucleotides) under uncultured bacterium. Its description in RNAcentral is "partial 16S ribosomal RNA". It matches the Rfam family "Bacterial small subunit ribosomal RNA", at positions 28 to 507 of the family's 1533-position model. The record is from RNAcentral.